UACGUAGGGGGCAAGCGUUGUCCGGAAUUAUUGGGCGUAAAGCGCGUGUAGGCGGUCCGGUAAGUCCGCUGUGAAAGUCGGGGGCUCAACCCUCGAAUGCCGGUGGAUACUGUCGGGCUAGAGUGCGGAAGAGGCGAGUGGAAUUCCUGGUGUAGCGGUGAAAUGCGCAGAUAUCAGGAGGAACACCAAUUGCGAAGGCAGCUCGCUGGGACGUUACUGACGCUGAGACGCGAAAGCGUGGGGAGCAAACGGG
RNAcentral lists this ribosomal RNA (253 nucleotides) under uncultured bacterium. RNAcentral describes it as "partial 16S ribosomal RNA". It matches the Rfam family "Bacterial small subunit ribosomal RNA", at positions 524 to 776 of the family's 1533-position model. The record is from RNAcentral.